RNAcentral lists this ribosomal RNA (396 nucleotides) under uncultured bacterium. RNAcentral describes it as "bacterial SSU rRNA". It matches the Rfam family "Bacterial small subunit ribosomal RNA", at positions 29 to 450 of the family's 1533-position model. The record is from RNAcentral.
AACGAACGCUGGCGGCAGGCUUAACACAUGCAAGUCGAACGGGCGUAGCAAUACGUCAGUGGCAGACGGGUGAGUAACACGUGGGAACCUUCCUAGGGGUACGGAACAACUCAGGGAAACUUGAGCUAAUACCGUAUACGUCCGUAAGGAGAAAGAUUCAUCGCCCCUAGACGGGCCCGCGUCGGAUUAGGUAGUUGGUGGGGUAACGGCCUACCAAGCCUACGAUCCGUAGCUGAUCUGAGAGGAUGAUCAGCCACACUGGGACUGAGACACGGCCCAGGCUCCUACGGGAGGCAGCAGUAAGGAAUAUUGCGCAAUGGGCGAAAGCCUGACGCAGCGACGCCGCGUGGGGGAUGAAGGUCUUUGGAUUGUAAACUCCUGUCAGCAGGGAAAAAG